RNAcentral lists this ribosomal RNA (461 nucleotides) under Salmonella enterica subsp. enterica serovar Infantis. Its description in RNAcentral is "bacterial SSU rRNA". It matches the Rfam family "Bacterial small subunit ribosomal RNA", at positions 1054 to 1515 of the family's 1533-position model. Lineage: Bacteria; Pseudomonadati; Pseudomonadota; Gammaproteobacteria; Enterobacterales; Enterobacteriaceae. The record is from RNAcentral. RNAcentral also lists the same sequence under 3 other names.
GUCAGCUCGUGUUGUGAAAUGUUGGGUUAAGUCCCGCAACGAGCGCAACCCUUAUCCUUUGUUGCCAGCGGUCCGGCCGGGAACUCAAAGGAGACUGCCAGUGAUAAACUGGAGGAAGGUGGGGAUGACGUCAAGUCAUCAUGGCCCUUACGACCAGGGCUACACACGUGCUACAAUGGCGCAUACAAAGAGAAGCGACCUCGCGAGAGCAAGCGGACCUCAUAAAGUGCGUCGUAGUCCGGAUUGGAGUCUGCAACUCGACUCCAUGAAGUCGGAAUCGCUAGUAAUCGUGGAUCAGAAUGCCACGGUGAAUACGUUCCCGGGCCUUGUACACACCGCCCGUCACACCAUGGGAGUGGGUUGCAAAAGAAGUAGGUAGCUUAACCUUCGGGAGGGCGCUUACCACUUUGUGAUUCAUGACUGGGGUGAAGUCGUAACAAGGUAACCGUAGGGGAACCUGC